AGCUAAUAGAUACCCGGGUAGUCCCAGCAGUAAACGGUGCGCGUUUGGUGUGAGCAGAUUCGACUCUGUUCGCGCCGGAGCUAACGCGUUAAACGCGCCGCCUGGGAAGUACGAUCGCAAGAUUAAAACUCAAAGAAAUUGACGGGGGCCCGCACAAGCGGUGGAGUAUGUGGCUUAAUUCGAUGCAACGCGAAGAACCUUACCUGGGUUUGACAUGCAUCUCUAAGGAGGUGAAAGCUUCCGAGGGUAGCAAUACCCGAUUUGCACAGGUGCUGCAUGGCUGUCGUCAGCUCGUGUCGUGAGAUGUUGGGUUUAAGUCCCGCAACGAGCGCAACCCUUGUAUGCUGUUGCUAUGCUUACGCAUAGCUCUCUGCGUAGACUGCCCCGUGAAACGGGGAGGAAGGUGGGGAUGACGUCAAGUCAGCAUGGCCCUUACACCCAGGGCUGCACACGUACUACAAUGCUCAGUACAAUUAGAACCUG
This 483-nucleotide ribosomal RNA is filed under the name uncultured bacterium. Its description in RNAcentral is "bacterial SSU rRNA". It matches the Rfam family "Bacterial small subunit ribosomal RNA", at positions 767 to 1252 of the family's 1533-position model. The record is from RNAcentral.